GCAUGCACAUGCAUACGCAUAUAAGAGUACCUACCUUCCCGUCUCGCUUGUGCUGCGGCUUCAGCGACGUGCGCGCUCUCGCUGGCGUGCGUGCGUGCAUGUGGUGUACGCCAACACACCUCUUACAUUCGCUCAAGCUUCUCUUCGAUCUUAGUGUGCGUGCGCCUCUGCGUAAAGGAUCUUUUCUCACCUCUCUGUCAAACUGAAGCGCACACACGCAAGCACACAUAUCCGCUCCCCACCACCGGCUGCAGAAGACGAACGAAGAGAUGCUUGGCCGUUCUCGCGCCACUCGCUUCAUCGUUUCGAGCAGCUCCUCGCCGGAGCUGCCACGGUUCCUGACCGAGAGGGAGAAGCCAAUCCUCGCCACCAGCGGCGACCUCUACGCAUUUGUAAUAGAGUAUGACCACCGCAGCACCAUGCCCCGCUUGGGUCGGAGCCCCGUUCACAGCGACUUCUUUUCGCGUUACUUGUUCAGCGGCUCGCCUCUGGCUGGCGUCUUGACCGCCGGCGGCGUCGCUCUCUUUGUGCUCACUUUUGGGUACCACGUCGGCAAACCAGUUGUCGAUGCCCACCGCGAGUUCUUCUGGAAGAGGGCAGAUGCCGCCCACGGCAAGCGCAGCGGUGAAAGCACAGAAGGGGCGGCGGCUGAGGAGAAGGGGGGGGACAGCCUCAGCCCAGUGGAAGAGUUCGACGACCUCAUCGAGGUGAAGGGAGAGGAGGGGUAGUCCCCUUCGCAUACAAAAACGGAGACUUUUGAGAGCCACUCGCACAGCUCACUCGACAUAGAAUGACGUCGACGACAGACCUCUUCCUUUGUGUGUGCGUGUGUGCCUCUAUGUCGACACAAGCAUGUUCUCGUCUGUUUUUCUUUUGCGUCUGUGGCUAUUCUGUUGGUUUUGGGUGAUGCAUGAUGAUAAUGGUGUCUGUGUUGUCGUUGCGACCGCUGUUGCGUGGCUGCACGCUUUCUGCUCUUUGUGUGCUCUCUCCUGUUGUUUAGUCUCCCUACUCAGCGAUGGCGGAUUGAAAACGUUUCCCGAUCUCUUUCACUACUUAAUGCCCUCCCCCCCCCCCCCCACACACACGAAGAAAAACGACCCCCAGCCUUCUAUGCAUCACUCCUCAUCAGCCUGAGCACGCACACGUACACACACACACACACACACAUGCGCGCCGGUGCAUGUCAGGAGCGUGCCUCGGAGCGCGAGAGGUGCCGCAGCAGUCGUUUUCCGGCUGACUUUUUCUUCCCCUCCAAUAUGUCGUUUUCGUGUGUGUAUGUGUAGUAGCAUCUCCCGACGAUCGUAGAAUUCGGGUGUGACGGCGUGCGACGCAUGCGCACGCGGCGACGUCAAAGAGCACGCAGAUCAUUACGUGGCGCGACCACCUGUGAUGGAACCUCUCUCACCAACCCUUGUUGUGCUCUCCCUUCAUCUCUCGUAUCAACCGCAG
This 1449-nucleotide unclassified non-coding RNA is filed under the name Leishmania donovani. Its description in RNAcentral is "gene:LdHU3.24.0830(CDS-product:hypothetical_prote in_conserved)". Lineage: Eukaryota; Euglenozoa; Kinetoplastea; Trypanosomatida; Trypanosomatidae. The record is from RNAcentral.